RNAcentral lists this ribosomal RNA (339 nucleotides) under Salmonella enterica subsp. enterica serovar Typhimurium. Its description in RNAcentral is "partial 23S ribosomal RNA". It matches the Rfam family "Bacterial large subunit ribosomal RNA", at positions 1598 to 1921 of the family's 2925-position model. Lineage: Bacteria; Pseudomonadati; Pseudomonadota; Gammaproteobacteria; Enterobacterales; Enterobacteriaceae. The record is from RNAcentral.
UACCACGCUUCCAGGAAAAGCUCCUAAGCUUCAGCUUACGCAGACCGUACCGUAAACCGACACAGGUGGGUAGGAUGAGAAUUCUCAGGCGCUUGAGAGAACUCGGGUGAAGGAACUAGGCAACAUGGCACCGUAACUUCGGGAGAAGGUGCACCCUUUUUGGUGGCUCGUGCGAGCUAUAGCUGAAGAGGGUCGCAGUAACCAGGCCGCUGCGACUGUUUAUCAAAAACACAGCACUCUGCAAACACGAAAGUGGACGUAUAGGGUGUGACGCCUGCCCGGUGCUGGAAGGUUAAUUGAUGGGGUCAGCCGCAAGGCGAAGCUCUUGAUCGAAGCCCC